CACACCGCCCGUCACACCACGAGAGUUUGUAACACCCGAAGUCGGUGGGGUAACCUUUAUGGAGCCAGCCGCCGAAGGUGGGAUAGAUGAUUGGGGUGAAGUCGUAACAAGGUAGCCGUAUCGGAAGGUGCGGCUGGAUCACCUCCUUUCUAAGGA
This 156-nucleotide ribosomal RNA is filed under the name Lysinibacillus xylanilyticus. RNAcentral describes it as "partial 16S ribosomal RNA". It matches the Rfam family "Bacterial small subunit ribosomal RNA", at positions 1386 to 1533 of the family's 1533-position model. The record is from RNAcentral. Lineage: Bacteria; Bacillati; Bacillota; Bacilli; Caryophanales; Bacillaceae.